The sequence is a regulatory RNA element, 45 nucleotides long. It matches the Rfam family "PreQ1 (pre queuosine) riboswitch aptamer". Rfam says of the family: This family is a bacterial riboswitch that binds to the metabolite preQ1, an intermediate in the biosynthesis of the modified nucleoside queuosine from GTP. One example of this riboswitch is located in the leader of the Bacillus subtilis ykvJKLM (queCDEF) operon which encodes four genes necessary for queuosine production. The record is from Rfam.
AUAAUGGUGGUUCGUAAACAUCCCACCUAAAAAAACUAGGAGGUU